Molecule: ribosomal RNA, 305 nt
Filed under: uncultured bacterium
Lineage: Bacteria
Description: bacterial SSU rRNA
Rfam family: Bacterial small subunit ribosomal RNA
Source: RNAcentral
UUUCCCUACGGGGGGCAGCAGUGGGGGAUAUUGCACAAUGGGGGAAACCCUGAUGCAGCGACGCCGCGUGUGGGAAGACGGUCCUCUGGAUUGUAAACCACUGUCCCCAGGGACGAAGAUGACGGUACCUGGGGAGGAAGCUCCGGCUAACUACGUGCCAGCAGCCGCGGUAAUACGUAGGUGGCAAGCGUUAUCCGGAUUUACUGGGUGUAAAGGGGGCGCAGACGGCGAUGCAAGCCAGGAGUGAAAGCCCGGGGCCCAACCCCGGGACUGCUCUUGGAACUGCGUGGCUAGAGUGCAGGAGG